RNAcentral lists this ribosomal RNA (787 nucleotides) under Setophoma poaceicola. RNAcentral's name for it is "partial large subunit ribosomal RNA". It matches the Rfam family "Eukaryotic large subunit ribosomal RNA", at positions 107 to 914 of the family's 3401-position model. The record is from RNAcentral. Lineage: Eukaryota; Fungi; Ascomycota; Dothideomycetes; Pleosporales; Phaeosphaeriaceae.
GCUCAAAUUUGAAAUCUGGCUCUUUCAGAGUCCGAGUUGUAAUUUGCAGAGGGCGCUUUGGCGUUGGCAGCGGUCCAAGUUCUUUGGAACAGGACGUCACAGAGGGUGAGAAUCCCGUACGUGGUCGCUAGCCAUCACCGUGUAAAGCCCCUUCGACGAGUCGAGUUGUUUGGGAAUGCAGCUCUAAAUGGGAGGUAAAUUUCUUCUAAAGCUAAAUACUGGCCAGAGACCGAUAGCGCACAAGUAGAGUGAUCGAAAGAUGAAAAGCACUUUGGAAAGAGAGUCAAAUAGCACGUGAAAUUGUUGAAAGGGAAGCGCUUGCAGCCAGACUUGCCUGUAGUUGCUUACCUAGACUUUUGUCUGGGGCACUCUUCUGCAGGCAGGCCAGCAUCAGUUUGGGCGGUUGGAUAAAGGUCUCUGUCACGUACCUCCCUUCGGGGAGGCCUUAUAGGGGAGACGUAAUGCAACCAGCCUGGACUGAGGUCCGCGCAUCUGCUAGGAUGCUGGCGUAAUGGCUGUAAGCGGCCCGUCUUGAAACACGGACCAAGGAGUCUAACAUCUAUGCGAGUGUUUGGGUGUCAAGCCCAUACGCGUAAUGAAAGUGAACGGAGGUGGGAACCUUAGGGUGCACCAUCGACCGAUCCUGAUGUCUUCGGAUGGAUUUGAGUAAGAGCAUGGCUGUUGGGACCCGAAAGAUGGUGAACUAUGCUUGAAUAGGGUGAAGCCAGAGGAAACUCUGGUGGAGGCUCGCAGCGGUUCUGACGUGCAAAUCGAUCGUCAAAUUUGG